GACGAACGCUGGCGGCGUGCUUAACACAUGCAAGUCGAGCGCUGAAGCCUUUCGGGGUGGAUGAGCGGCGAACGGGUGAGUAACACGUGGGUAAUCUGCCCUGCACUCUGGGAUAAGCCUGGGAAACUGGGUCUAAUACCGGAUAUGACCACCUCGGGCAUCUGGGGUGGUGGAAAGUUCCGGCGGUGUAGGAUGAGCCCGCGGCCUAUCAGCUUGUUGGUGGGGUGAUGGCCUACCAAGGCGA
RNAcentral lists this ribosomal RNA (244 nucleotides) under uncultured Actinomycetes bacterium. RNAcentral describes it as "uncultured actinobacterium partial 16S ribosomal RNA". It matches the Rfam family "Bacterial small subunit ribosomal RNA", at positions 28 to 276 of the family's 1533-position model. Lineage: Bacteria; Bacillati; Actinomycetota; Actinomycetes. The record is from RNAcentral.